GCGACCCGCUGGAGACGGACCCUGCGGGGAAGGAGCGGAGCGUCAGGGCUGUGCGGGCCGGUGGGGCCGGUCCAGGGCCGGGCGGGCGCUCACCGCAGGCGUCCAACACUUUGGUUUACCCUGGGACUUCCAGAGAACCUCCUGAAUUCUGGAGGAAGAGAAGCUGUCCCAAGUGUCACAAUGAGAACGAGCUGAGCACCAAGAGACCUUGAGUGACUUUUGGUGGGGGAACAAAGGAGAUUCCUCUGAACAUUCAGGAGCACGACAUCCAAGAUGCAGUGGUCAGAGAAAGACCCCAGGAUCCCCGGCCCACCUUCCCUGCCCUGCUGGGAGCCGGGCUGUGACCGCCCUGCCCCGCCGCUGCUUCGAGCCUUCGCUGCAUUGUAGCCCUGCUCGCCCUGCCUGCCCAGACCUGCGGGGGGUUCUCCGUUGGGAUACACCUCGUCUGCCAUCUGGGAUUUGUGCUCGUCCCUGCCGUUCCAGCCUGCCAUUCCAGCCUGCCAUUCCCAAG
Molecule: long non-coding RNA, 511 nt
Organism: Corvus hawaiiensis (hawaiian crow)
Lineage: Eukaryota; Metazoa; Chordata; Aves; Passeriformes; Corvidae
Exons: 3
Source: RefSeq, a predicted model, not a curated record